Non-coding RNA from Nocardia sp. Root136, 198 nucleotides. The record is from Rfam. Lineage: Bacteria; Bacillati; Actinomycetota; Actinomycetes; Mycobacteriales; Nocardiaceae.
AAACCCGGGUGCGGAUCAUGUUCCGCACCGGGUGAGAGGGAACCCGGUGAGAAUCCGGGACUGUCCCGCAGCGGUGAGCAGGAACGACCGCCGUCAUCAGCACUGGGCAGCAUGCCUGGGAAGCGACGGCCAGUAGGUCGGUCGAUCACACGACCGGUGCCCGCGAGUCCGAAGACCUGCCGACUGUGCCGGAUACGC